Molecule: ribosomal RNA, 503 nt
Filed under: uncultured bacterium
Lineage: Bacteria
Description: partial 16S ribosomal RNA
Rfam family: Bacterial small subunit ribosomal RNA
Source: RNAcentral
AUUGAACGCUGGCGGCAGGCUUAACACAUGCAAGUCGAGCGGGGUGAUGGUGCUUGCACUAUCACUUAGCGGCGGACGGGUGAGUAAUGCUUAGGAAUCUGCCUAUUAGUGGGGGACAACAUCUCGAAAGGGAUGCUAAUACCGCAUACGUCCUACGGGAGAAAGCAGGGGAUCACUUGUGACAUUGCGCUAAUAGAUACGCCUAAGUCGGAUUAGCUAGUUGGUGGGGUAAAGGCCUACCAAGGCGACGAGCUGUAGCGGGUCUGAGAGGAUGAUCCGCCACACUGGGACUGAGACCAGGCCCAGACUCCUACGGGAGGCAGCAGUGGGGAAUAUUGGACAAUGGGGGGAACCCUGAUCCAGCCAUGCCGCGUGUGUGAAGAAGGCCUUAUGGUUGUAAAGCACUUUAAGCGAGGAGGAGGCUCUUUUGGUUAAUACCCAAGAUGAGUGGACGUUACUCGCAGAAUAAGCACCGGCUAACUCUGUGCCAGCCGCCGCCGUAA